This 74-nucleotide transfer RNA is filed under the name Actinomycetota bacterium. RNAcentral describes it as "tRNA-Arg". It matches the Rfam family "tRNA". Rfam says of the family: Transfer RNA (tRNA) molecules are approximately 80 nucleotides in length. Their secondary structure includes four short double-helical elements and three loops (D, anti-codon, and T loops). The record is from RNAcentral. Lineage: Bacteria; Bacillati; Actinomycetota.
GCGCUCGUAGCUCAGCUGGACAGAGCAGCCGCCUUCUAAGCGGCAGGUCGAAGGUUCGAACCCUUCCGGGCGCG